RNAcentral lists this small RNA (379 nucleotides) under Histoplasma ohiense. RNAcentral's name for it is "hypothetical lncRNA". The record is from RNAcentral. Lineage: Eukaryota; Fungi; Ascomycota; Eurotiomycetes; Onygenales; Ajellomycetaceae.
CAUCAGUUUUUGCGUAUUCCUCCACUGCCCCUCUCCCUUCCUCGAUCUCCUUCUCGUGUUCCUGUGCGUAGUAUUCUCUGUUUAUCGAGCUCUGCGGACCUGGCGCCACCAUCUUUAAGGCCGCAUCUCGAACAACGAUAGGCAGGCCGAAGGACAGAUCCAGCAUGCAACACUGACAACAGUUCUUCAGCCGAGCGCAUGUCAAGCAGAUAUUUGUCCGUUUGGUGCGUGCUGUGCGAUCUGGUUUCCAUUGGAACAUGGUCAUCGGGCGGGUGCAGAUUUUACACUCAGCGGCAUAGUCUUCCUUGAGCAUUUGGACAUAAGGGUUGUCGGGAAGACAUGAUUCGCAGACGGAGGGGAAAUCUGUUGUCUCCCAACC